UAACGACUCUCGGCAACGGAUAUCUCGGCUCUCGCAUCGAUGAAGAACGUAGCGAAAUGCNAUACUUGGUGUGAAUUGCAGAAUCCCGUGAACCAUCGAGUUUUUGAACGCACGUUGCGCCCAAAGCCAUUAGGCCGAGGGCACGUCUUCCUGGGCGUCACGUA
RNAcentral lists this ribosomal RNA (164 nucleotides) under Disanthus cercidifolius subsp. longipes. RNAcentral describes it as "5.8S ribosomal RNA". It matches the Rfam family "5.8S ribosomal RNA". From Rfam's summary of the family: 5.8S ribosomal RNA (5.8S rRNA) is a component of the large subunit of the eukaryotic ribosome. It is transcribed by RNA polymerase I as part of the 45S precursor that also contains 18S and 28S rRNA. The record is from RNAcentral. Lineage: Eukaryota; Viridiplantae; Streptophyta; Magnoliopsida; Saxifragales; Hamamelidaceae.